UGAGUAACACGUGGGUAACCUGCCUGUAAGACUGGGAUAACUCCGGGAAACCGGGGCUAAUACCGGAUGCUUGUUUGAACCGCAUGGUUCAAACAUAAAAGGUGGCUUCGGCUACCACUUACAGAUGGACCCGCGGCGCAUUAGCUAGUUGGUGAGGUAAUGGCUCACCAAGGCAACGAUGCGUAGCCGACCUGAGAGGGUGAUCGGCCACACUGGGACUGAGACACGGCCCAGACUCCUACGGGAGGCAGCAGUAGGGAAUCUUCCGCAAUGGACGAAAGUCUGACGGAGCAACGCCGCGUGAGUGAUGAAGGUUUUCGGAUCGUAAAGCUCUGUUGUUAGGGAAGAACAAGUACCGUUCGAAUAGGGCGGUACCUUGACGGUACCUAACCAGAAAGCCACGGCUAACUACGUGCCAGCAGCCGCGGUAAUACGUAGGUGGCAAGCGUUGUCCGGAAUUAUUGGGCGUAAAGGGCUCGCAGGCGGUUUCUUAAGUCUGAUGUGAAAGCCCCCGGCUCAACCGGGGAGGGUCAUUGGAAACUGGGGAACUUGAGUGCAGAAGAGGAGAGUGGAAUUCCACGUGUAGCGGUGAAAUGCGUAGAGAUGUGGAGGAACACCAGUGGCGAAGGCGACUCUCUGGUCUGUAACUGACGCUGAGGAGCGAAAGCGUGGGGAGCGAACAGGAUUAGAUACCCUGGUAGUCCACGCCGUAAACGAUGAGUGCUAAGUGUUAGGGGGUUUCCGCCCCUUAGUGCUGCAGCUAACGCAUUAAGCACUCCGCCUGGGGAGUACGGUCGCAAGACUGAAACUCAAAGGAAUUGACGGGGGCCCGCACAAGCGGUGGAGCAUGUGGUUUAAUUUGAAGCAACGCGAAGAACCUUACCAGGUCUUGACAUCCUCUGACAAUCCUAGAGAUAGGACGUCCCCUUCGGGGGCAGAGUGACAGGUGGUGCAUGGUUGUCGUCAGCUCGUGUCGUGAGAUGUUGGGUUAAGUCCCGCAACGAGCGCAACCCUUGAUCUUAGUUGCCAGCAUUCAGUUGGGCACUCUAAGGUGACUGCCGGUGACAAACCGGAGGAAGGUGGGGAUGACGUCAAAUCAUCAUGCCCCUUAUGACCUGGGCUACACACGUGCUACAAUGGACAGAACAAAGGGCAGCGAAACCGCGAGGUUAAGCCAAUCCCACAAAUCUGUUCUCAGUUCGGAUCGCAGUCUGCAACUCGACUGCGUGAAGCUGGAAUCGCUAGUAAUCGCGGAUCAGCAUGCCGCGGUGAAUACG
Molecule: ribosomal RNA, 1277 nt
Filed under: Bacillus subtilis
Lineage: Bacteria; Bacillati; Bacillota; Bacilli; Caryophanales; Bacillaceae
Description: bacterial SSU rRNA
Rfam family: Bacterial small subunit ribosomal RNA
Source: RNAcentral